Molecule: ribosomal RNA, 301 nt
Filed under: uncultured bacterium
Lineage: Bacteria
Description: partial 16S ribosomal RNA
Rfam family: Bacterial small subunit ribosomal RNA
Source: RNAcentral
CAGUCGCCGCGGUAAUACGUAGGGUGCGAGCGUUAAUCGGAAUUACUGGGCGUAAAGCGUGCGCAGGCGGUUGUGUAAGACAGGUGUGAAAUCCCCGGGCUUAACCUGGGAACUGCGCUUGUGACUGCACAGCUAGAGUAUGGCAGAGGGGGGUGGAAUUCCACGUGUAGCAGUGAAAUGCGUAGAGAUGUGGAGGAACACCGAUGGCGAAGGCAGCCCCCUGGGCCAAUACUGACGCUCGUGCACGAAAGCGUGGGGAGCAAACAGGAUUAGAUACCCGCGUAGUCCCUGUCUCUUAUAC